GCCAGGCGUUGUGGCAGGCGCCUGUAGUCCCAGCUACUUGGGAGGCUGAGGCAGGAGACUCACUUGAGCCCAGGAGUUGGAGGUUGCUGUGAGCUGUGAUGCCAUGGCACUCUACCCAGGGGGAUAGCUUGAGGCUCCGUCUCAAAAAAAAAAAAAAGAGAGACAGAGUCUCACUUUGUUGCCCUCAGUAUGGCAUCACAGCUCACAGCAACCUCCAACUCCUGGGCUUAGACGAUUCUCUUGCCU
Molecule: small RNA, 246 nt
Filed under: Otolemur garnettii (small-eared galago)
Lineage: Eukaryota; Metazoa; Chordata; Mammalia; Primates; Galagidae
Description: Metazoan signal recognition particle RNA (ENSOGAG00000026052.1)
Source: RNAcentral